UUGCUUCAGUAGCACAUACACUAAAACUGGAAUGAUACAGAGAUUAGCAUCAUCCCUGUGAAAAGAUAACAUGUAAAUUUAUGAAGCGUUCCAUAUUUUU
Molecule: small nuclear RNA, 100 nt
Filed under: Bos indicus x Bos taurus (hybrid cattle)
Lineage: Eukaryota; Metazoa; Chordata; Mammalia; Artiodactyla; Bovidae
Source: RNAcentral